This 2042-nucleotide long non-coding RNA is filed under the name Homo sapiens (human). Its description in RNAcentral is "SAMD4A antisense RNA 1, transcript variant 1 (SAMD4A-AS1)". Lineage: Eukaryota; Metazoa; Chordata; Mammalia; Primates; Hominidae. The record is from RNAcentral.
GACAGCAGCCCAGCCCCAUUCAGGGACACGUGGCCCUGAUUUGAGCUCCUGUGACAUCACGCUCCCUCCACUUAUCUUACAUGUCACAUCUCAAACAUUUAACAUUUUACAUCUCAAACAUUUCUUGAGGCCCUUACCCUCCCAUUCCCCCAAAUCAAUACGGCACUUAGGGGACACCAAGGCGCAGAGACACUUGCCCCAAAUCAUGCAGUAAUGCCCUGGUGCCACCGUGAACAGUGCUGAAGCUUCCUGACCCCUUGUCCAGGGGACCUGGCUGCCUUUUAUAGAAAGUUUCCACACACCUUCUAUUCCUAACCUCGAUCACAAGCAUCGCCGGCCCAGAUGCUCUGUGUCACCGGCUUAGUAACAUACCCCAUUUAGGAGCAUGAGCACAACUUGUUUGCAGUGGGAAUGAAUUAACUGAAUUCUAGAUAUUGUUUUUUGGCUGCCUUUUUUUGUUUGUUUUUAUUUCAAACACAGCUAACUAAUCAGGGCUGUGGACACCAAGAAUGCCAACUUUGAUUCUUCAAGGAAAAUCAGCAGCUGACCACACACCACCCUUCCUGGUCCUCCCCGAGAUGCCAAGAACAUCCAAAGUCUGCAGUUUUGAGGAAACUGAAGCUGAUCUGACACCACUUCCUUUUUCUCCAGAUGUUACCCUUCGGAUGCAUACCUCAAUCUGCCUGAAAAUCAUGGAAUUCUGGAGAUGGAAGGGACCUCAGAGAUUUUCUGGUUCUCUCUGUUCUGGUUGCCCCUGCAGCUUCCUGGCCACCCUCCUCUGGCUACACUUAAUGCCUCUUUGAAAACCUGGUACCCAGAACUGAAUGGUGGACUGCGCUCAGCUUCUCCUUCCAGGUCCCGCCCUGAGGCACCCGGCUUAACCCCCAAGUCAAACGCUGCACAGAGCAGGCCUGCUGCCUGCCCACUCUGGCUACCAGGCCAAAGGCCCAGGUCUGGAAGAAUAAAAAGAUGCCACCACCCUACUACCUUGCUGCUGCUCCAUCCCCAGACAGCUGUGGGCAGCUGCAGCUGAGAAGUGAAACUAACAACAGCAUCUGGGGGAGGGGGCGGCACCCAGCUGAGCCCUUUCCAUAGGUUUCCCGUUUCUGGUUGGGGGGGGGGGCGGGGGUGUCUGGCCAAUGGAAACAGGGCAGGCCCUCAGGGAUGCCUCUUAUCAGCAACCCACUGGAAGUCUGUAACCCCCUUCAUGGUACGGUGUGCAGGGCAGGGAUGGGAGGCACAGCUAGAUGUGUGCAGCCCCAGCCUAAGCCAGGCCUGUUGGGCACCACAAUGGGCUCACCCGCCUCGGUCCAUCUGGAAAAGGUUUGAAAGCUUGAGGCAGGAAAGUUCCCUUUUGCAUUUUAAAGUGUGUUGAAACUGAGUAGCCUGGGUGUUGGUCUCAUUCCACAAGUGAGUAAUCCAUUUCCUGAAAGUAAGCUGCUCCCCCUUUGGAAGUGGCCCAGCGAUUUGGGGGUGCUGUUAGAGGUGUCACUAACUCGGUAAAUAUUUAUUGGCACAAGCAAGGAGCUUUUCUAGGAAUAUCAGUUAAUUUGCUAAACUAAUGGCUUUAAGGUAGCACCCUUGAAAAAAAUUAAUUCCUUUCUGAUGGGUGAGCAAUUUAUGCCUGGGACAGGGCACCAGACAGGCAGUGUGUUUCACUUACUAGUUAGAAUAACCACAAAUAAAUUAAAACCAGGCCUGACUUUAAAAUCUCUACCUUCUUCCUUUUCUUGACUCCUGAUUUUCUAUUAAUAUCUGAGCCAGUAAUGGAUUGACUUUGGAAAACUCUUUUCUAUGGCAAUAUUUUGCUGGGAGUUUGAAAUGAUGGGGUUUGAAAACUCCCUUUCCUGUGAGUCUUUUGGCUUCUGGGAUCCCAUACGGAUGAUCUCAUAUAUCUACCCCUCACUAAGACUGUGCCCACCUGGAUCUAUCUGGAGACGUGCCUCCUGUUCUUCUGUGUAGAGCAAUUUAGACUUUCAUCACCUGGCUUGAAAAAGCCUUUUGCCUUGAAGAAUAAAAACUUGGUUUCUUUAUGGCUCAAA